AUUGAACGCUGGCGGCAUGCUUUACACAUGCAAGUCGGACGGCAGCACAGAGAAGCUUGCUUCUUGGGUGGCGAGUGGCGAACGGGUGAGUAACAUAUCGGAACGUACCGAGCAGUGGGGGAUAACUAAUCGAAAGAUUAGCUAAUACCGCAUAUCUUCUGAGGAAGAAAGCAGGGGACCAUUAGGCCUUGCGCUGUUUGAGCGGCCGAUAUCUGAUUAGCUAGUUGGUGGGGUAAAGGCCUACCAAGGCGACGAUCAGUAGCGGGUCUGAGAGGAUGAUCCGCCACACUGGGACUGAGACACGGCCCAGACUCCUACGGGAGGCAGCAGUGGGGAAUUUUGGACAAUGGGCGCAAGCCUGAUCCAGCCAUGCCGCGUGUCUGAAGAAGGCCUUCGGGUUGUAAAGGACUUUUGUCAGGGAAGAAAAGGGCGGGGUUAAUACCCCUGUCUGAUGACGGUACCUGAAGAAUAAGCACCGGCUAACUACGUG
This 490-nucleotide ribosomal RNA is filed under the name uncultured bacterium. RNAcentral's name for it is "partial 16S ribosomal RNA". It matches the Rfam family "Bacterial small subunit ribosomal RNA", at positions 30 to 507 of the family's 1533-position model. The record is from RNAcentral.